UCGUUCGCGAGCGACUCAUUAUUAUGCUGUGGUUCCCCCCCGACCUGCCCCUGCGCCUCACUGUGCUGCUUCUCAACUUCAGUGGUCAGGUGUUGCAGAAGACCUGAAGACAAUUAAAGUGCUUCUCGUGUUGUCGCCCACAGGAUCAAGUACCCAUUUUUAUCUGUGUCAGUACACCCGAGUUACGCCUGAUACACGUGCCCCGGUGUCUGUACCAUGGCUUGGCCUGGAGACAACUUUAUCCCACUGCACACUGGGCCAGAUGGAGACUUUACCAAGCUAUUAAAAAAGCUAAAGAACCUUAGAGAUGAACAUGUUAGAAAUACUUAUGAAGCGCAACAGAAUUGGUUCUCAUCUCUGUUCUCAUCAAGUGAAAGCACAAUCCUGAUAAGUCUCGGGAUUGUGUUAGUAGCAGCGAUAUUGAUAGCUGUGUCCUGCUGCUUAGCAUGUUGGAUCCAAGACAUGAAGUCAAGAAUGUUUGGCCUGGCUGCACAAGCGACUCAACAGAAUGCAGAUGAGAAAAAUGUGAUUAUGAUGUAUAAAAAAACGAGCCUGCCAGAGGUGCAGGUAAUGAGAGAUGAUGUGUAGGUUGCAAGGAUUACUCAUUUGAGAAUGCUGCUUCAUCAAGGUGCUG
This is a long non-coding RNA of Clarias gariepinus (North African catfish), 634 nucleotides long. RefSeq lists it as uncharacterized. Lineage: Eukaryota; Metazoa; Chordata; Actinopteri; Siluriformes; Clariidae. The record is from RefSeq and is a predicted model, not a curated record. The transcript is spliced from 3 exons.